UCCCUACUAGCCUGUAUCAACUAUCUUAUUCUUUACAACAACGAUUUGAGGAGUAACAAUAUUUUAGCUAAUAGAUGUAAAAGCGAAGAUAAACACAUUGAGCAAAGGGGGAAUUGGCGAAACAGGCUGCAUUGCACGAGGGAAUAUCGGAAGAGGCCAGUCGAAAAAUCGCCAGAAUCAAACAACUUCAAGGUGCAAACGCAAGGACGCUUACAAAGGAAGGUGAACACUGAUCGACUGCAGUACUACUAACGACGGAACAAACAGUUCCUCAAGUGUAGCCCUAUUUACAGAACGAGUCGAAAAUGUCUCAGAAGCGUAUAUGGCAGGUUUGUACUACGGACAAUAUAUGUGACGAUUUUUAAACCAGGCUUCGAUUAAGCUUAAGGUAGGGAGGAUCAAUUGUUAUCUACUAGGCACCUGACUACAGAAGUUCCAAUUUGGGACCUUUGUCUCCAAAGUACUACAAUCGAGGAGAUUGACCAGAACAACAGAUCUCGCGCUCGUCUGGGAGAACUUGAAGUACAACAAGGUGAACACCUGCAACCGUAUCAAAAUCGGCAUCUCCUAAAGCUUAGCGACCAACUUGACGCGGAGAUCGCUAGAAGUAAAAUACGUUCAGAUGAAUGGCAAGUAAGGAAUACUUGUCUGAGAAAUGCAAAGGAAGCACUAGGGCAACAGCUUGCCAAAAUGGUCGCAACUACUUCGAAUGUUGACUUAAAAUCACUGGAAGAAAAGCAGAAAAAGCUAGAAAAUGAAAAUCGUGAUCUGGAAGAACAGAAAGCAAAACUCAAGAAGCAGGUCAAAGAAUUGACCCAGCAGCAGCAGGAGUUUAAACAAGAAAAAGAAACAUUAGAGAAGUUAAAUGGAGUAAUGGCAAAAAAUCAGACCAGACUUGCCAACAAUUUCUCCCAAGCUCAGGAAGAAGCUACGCGUUUAAGGAAGGACUGGAAUAACAGUAAGCUACUAUAUGAAAAGAAGAUUGCGGAACUGAAAGAACAGCUCGCCGAAAAGGUACACAGCGAGAAAAUUGAAAAGGCCUCAAUGAAGAAAGACACAUGAUUGCCGACAACGAAUAAGCGAUUUCCUCGACAAUAAAGCUGACAAUGGAGUUUUGUGGCUGAUCUUUGACCUCUAUUAACCUCAUUUCCGUAUGUCGCACGCGAUCCAGGCAAGUACGGAACC
Molecule: long non-coding RNA, 1185 nt
Filed under: Varroa destructor (honeybee mite)
Lineage: Eukaryota; Metazoa; Arthropoda; Arachnida; Mesostigmata; Varroidae
Description: uncharacterized LOC111254075, transcript variant X5
Source: RNAcentral